Molecule: unclassified non-coding RNA, 246 nt
Filed under: uncultured fungus
Lineage: Eukaryota; Fungi
Description: sequence contains ITS2
Source: RNAcentral
AACGCACAUUGCGCCUCCUGGUAUUCCGGGAGGCACACCUGUUCGAGCGCCGUUUCAAUACUAAGGUAGAGCAUUUAUGUUCCAAACCUUGCGUUGAUGGAUCUCUGUGAAAAGGGACCGUCGAAACUCCUUCAAACGCCGACGGCGAUGGCAUACGCAGCGAAAUGCGAGGUGCGAUCGAUCGAGCGGUUGUUCGUUUUACGAAGUUUUGGCCUCGGAUCAGGUGGGGAUACCCGCUGAACUUAA